UACAGAGGUCUCAAGCGUUGUUCGGAUUCAUUGGGCGUAAAGGGUGCGUAGGUGGCGCCGUAAGUCAGGUGUGAAAUCUCGGGGCUUAACUCCGAAACUGCAUUUGAUACUGCGGUGCUUGAGGACUGGAGAGGAGACUGGAAUUUACGGUGUAGCGGUGAAAUGCGUAGAUAUCGUAAGGAAGACCAGUGGCGAAGGCGGGUCUCUGGACAGUUCCUGACACUGAGACACGAAGGCCAGGGGAGCAAACGGG
This 253-nucleotide ribosomal RNA is filed under the name uncultured bacterium. RNAcentral describes it as "partial 16S ribosomal RNA". It matches the Rfam family "Bacterial small subunit ribosomal RNA", at positions 524 to 776 of the family's 1533-position model. The record is from RNAcentral.